RNAcentral lists this ribosomal RNA (392 nucleotides) under uncultured Oscillibacter sp. RNAcentral describes it as "bacterial SSU rRNA". It matches the Rfam family "Bacterial small subunit ribosomal RNA", at positions 355 to 762 of the family's 1533-position model. Lineage: Bacteria; Bacillati; Bacillota; Clostridia; Eubacteriales; Oscillospiraceae. The record is from RNAcentral.
UGGGGAAUAUUGGGCAAUGGGCGCAAGCCUGACCCAGCAACGCCGCGUGAAGGAAGAAGGCUUUCGGGUUGUAAACUUCUUUUAAGAGGGAAGAGCAGAAGACGGUACCUCUAGAAUAAGCCACGGCUAACUACGUGCCAGCAGCCGCGGUAAUACGUAGGUGGCAAGCGUUGUCCGGAUUUACUGGGUGUAAAGGGCGUGUAGCCGGGUCGGCAAGUCAGAUGUGAAAUCCACGGGCUUAACUCGUGAACUGCAUUUGAAACUGUUGAUCUUGAGUAUCGGAGAGGCAAUCGGAAUUCCUAGUGUAGCGGUGAAAUGCGUAGAUAUUAGGAGGAACACCAGUGGCGAAGGCGGAUUGCUGGACGACAACUGACGGUGAGGCGCGAAAGCGU